Molecule: ribosomal RNA, 465 nt
Filed under: uncultured bacterium
Lineage: Bacteria
Description: bacterial SSU rRNA
Rfam family: Bacterial small subunit ribosomal RNA
Source: RNAcentral
CCUACGGGACGCAGCAGUGGGGAAUAUUGCACAAUGGGCGCAAGCCUGAUGCAGCCAUGCCGCGUGUGUGAAGAAGGCCUUCGGGUUGUAAAGCACUUUCAGCGGGGAGGAAGGCGGUGAGGUUAAUAACCUCAUCGAUUGACGUUACCCGCAGAAGAAGCACCGGCUGACUCCGUGCCAGCAGCCGCGGUAAUACGGAGGGUGCAAGCGUUAAUCGGAAUUACUGGGCGUAAAGCGCACGCAGGCGGUCUGUCAAGUCGGAUGUGAAAUCCCCGGGCUCAACCUGGGAUCUGCAUUCGAAACUGGCAGGCUAGAGUCUUGUAGAGGGGGGUAGAAUUCCAGGUGUAGCGGUGAAAUUCGUAGAUAUUCGGAGGAACACCAGUGGCGAAGGCGGCUUACUGGUCUGCAACUGACGCUGAGGCGCGAAAGCGUGGGGAGCAAACAGGAUUAGAUACCCGUGUAGUC